Molecule: ribosomal RNA, 468 nt
Filed under: uncultured bacterium
Lineage: Bacteria
Description: partial 16S ribosomal RNA
Rfam family: Bacterial small subunit ribosomal RNA
Source: RNAcentral
GACGAACGCUGGCGGCGUGCUUAACACAUGCAAGUCGAACGGAAAGGCCCUGCUUUUGUGGGGUGCUCGAGUGGCGAACGGGUGAGUAACACGUGAGUAACCUUCCCUUGACUUUGGGAUAACUUCAGGAAACUGGUGCUAAUACCUGAUAGGAGCUCCUGCUGCAUGGUGGGGGUUGGAAAGUUUAGUCGGUUGGGGAUGGACUCGCGGCUUAUCAGCUUGUUGGUGGGGUAGUGGCUUACCAAGGCUUUGACGGGUAGCCGGCCUGAGAGGGUGACCGGCCACAUUGGGACUGAGAUACGGCGCAGACUCCUACGGGAGGCAGCAGUGGGGAAUAUGGCACAAUGGGCGGAAGCCUGAGGCAGCAACGCCGCGUGCGGGAUGACGGCCUUCGGGUUGUAAACCGCUUUCGCCUGUGACGAAGCGUGAGUGACGGUAAUGGGUAAAGAAGCACCGGCUAACUACGUG